UUUAUGUUUAUUUACUUUAAGAUGAUUAAGAUUGGUAAAUUUGAUAAAGCAUCAAUAAAUUCGAUAAAAUUUUGAAAAUUUUAAAUUGGUAAAAUAUAUAAAACUUAUUUAAACGGUAGAUCCUUCUAAUUUGGCUAUUCAACCUUUUAAAAUUUUAAUUUUACUGUCCAACCUUUCAAUUUAUCUGAUUUUAGUCGGUCAACGUAUUUUAACUUUCAAAUUUAAGCUGAUUAAUUAUUUUUAUAAAUUUAUAUUUCUGAUAGUUAUAUAAAGUAUACUAAUUAAAUCUGUAUAGAUAAACGAUAAGGUCAAAGUGUCGUUAACUAACUCAAAGCAAACAAAUUAAAAUAUUAGAUAGUAAAAUUAAAAAUUUGAAAGAUUUGAUAACUAUAUUAAUAUGGGUUACAGUUCAAAUAAAUUUUGUACGUUUUCAUCAAAAAAAAAAAAAGUUUAAAGUUGAGGGGUCGUAUCAAAAUGAUCUAUAGUUGAGGGGUUAACAGCGCAUUUUCGCCUUUCUAUAUGCUAUAAAAACCCCCGACCAACGUCGCUUCGUACUCUUUCACUCCUCCCACACACCACCUUACUCCGCUCACCACCGACUCCUCACUCUUUCUCCUACCUCGCGAUUUGCCCUAGCGGAGGAUCCCCUCACCUCCUCCCUCCUCCUCCUCCUCCUCCUCGAUCUCGACCUCUUCCUCCUCGAUCUCGACCUCUUCGGCGAGGCCAUGGGGGACAGAGUCGACUACGUGUUCAAGGUGGUGCUCAUCGGGGACUCGGCGGUGGGGAAGUCGCAGAUCCUGGCGCGGUUCGCGCGGAACGAGUUCGCCCUCGACUCCAAGGCUACGAUCGGGGUCGAGUUCCAGACGCGGACCCUCGUCAUCGACCACAAGAGCGUCAAGGCCCAGAUCUGGGACACCGCGGGACAAGAGAGGUACCCGAUUAGCCCCUGCUCCUCUCGAAUCAGAUCCGUUCCCGUUCGUCUCCGAUUUGGUGCUAGUAAUCACUUGUAGACUUCAAUGUUUGGCUUCAGAUCAGUGUUUUUGAUGAAAUUUUUGCUAUUUUUUUUUUCUUUGUUUUUCAUGUUUACUAGUGUUCUAGCUGCUCGGAUUUGGUAUUCAUUGCUUGUAGAUUUCGAGUUUAGCUUCAGAUCAGUGUUUCUGAUGCUAUUUUACCAGGUUUUCUUAGGUUUUCCUCUGCAUUUUUGAUCCGAUCCUUUCGUCUUGGAUUUGCUAGUAAUCAUUUGUAGAUUUCGACGUUUUUCUUCAGAUCGGUGUUCAUAGCUUACUCUAAUGUAGUUUUGCUAGGUUUUCCUCUGCUUUGUCUGUUUGUUAGGCUUCUAUCUGCUCGGGUUUGAUAGUAAUCACUUGUUGAUUUCUAGUUUAGUAGGUUCAGAUCGGUAUGCGUAGUAUCUUUUUAUGCUAUUUCAAGUUCUAUUUUGGACACCGCACCACAAGAGAAGUGUUAAAUCCUUCUCUUCUCUUCUCGAUCCGUUCCCAUUCUACUCGGAUUUUGUAGCAAUGGCGAGUUGAUUUUGCGUCUAGCUUCGGAUCAGUGUUUUGCUAGGUUUUUCCUCGUCUUGUAUUAAUCCCUUAUCUUCUUGAUCCCAUUCCUUACCCUUCUUCUCGGAUUUGAUAGUAAUGGCCUCUAGAUCUCGACUUGAGCUUCAGAUCACUAAUCCUAGCUUGUUUUGAUGCUAUUUCGCUAGAUUUUCUCCUCUUUUUUUUUUUUUUUCUGUUCAGUACGCCUCUAAAUACUUCAAGAGAGUUGCUAAACCCUUUUCUUCUUUAUCAAAUCUGAUCCCAUUCUACUUGGAUUUUGCAGUAAUGUCCUGUAGAUUUAGAUCUUACGGUUAGAUUUUUGUUUCCAGAUUAUUUUGAUGCUUGUGUGAUUUGCUUUGCUAGAUUUUUCUCUGUUGUUAUGUUUUACUAGGAUAUAUUGAUUUCCGGAUGCUUUCAUGUUAAACCUUUGCACUGUAUAACAGAUUAUACUUUUUAGCAUUGUAGUGGCAAGUGUAGCAUUUGGUUGGAUCUGUUUAAUCCAUUUGCGUACUCUUUCGUGGUGUUGAAACCAAUUUUAACUGCUGAAUCUACCAUUUUAUUGAUGAAUUGUUGUUAAAAUGUUGGUUGUUUCCUGUUUUAGCAUGUGUUUGUUUUGUGAUAAUCUAUGUAGGAGAGAAACAACUGAGGAAGAUUGAAAUGAUUAGAAGUCAGUAUCUUCUUAAAGAUGUUAAUAGUUAUGAAAUCCAUAUCUUCUUUGACUAUUUUGUAAGUGCAAUCUCAGUAAGCGAAUACCUUCGCUUUCGAUGUCUCUCUUAGUAAAAUCACGAAUAAUUCCCGAAUCAUUCGCGGACGAAUUUAUAAAUGAGUAAUUUUCUCCAUUUGUUUUUUUUUUUCCCUUUUGAAAUGUAUAAAUAUGUUUUAUGCAUGCAAGUAUGCAACACAUAAUCGACUAAUAGCAACACUUGUAAAACUUUCCUACCUAUAUAAAUGGCUUAAUAUUUAUGCCUAAUUUUCCUGCCGCAUCAUAUGAAUCCCAUAUGUUAUUCUCUCUCUAGGUUUCCAAAUAUUUCUUACUAUUCAAAACUACCACUUGAUAAUUCGCAUGCCGAAUUUUUGCUGUAUCUACAUUAAACUGUGUUCAAUGUUUUACGUAACAGGUACAGGGCGGUGACGAGCGCAUACUACCGCGGCGCGGUGGGGGCUCUGCUGGUCUACGACAUAACCAGGCGGCAGACCUUCGACCACAUACCGCGGUGGCUGGACGAGCUGCGGGCGCACGCCGACAAGAACAUCGUCAUCAUGCUGGUGGGCAACAAGACCGACCUCGUCGACCAGCGGACCGUGCCAACCGAGGACGCCAGAGAGUUCGCCGAAAAGGAGAACCUCUUCUUCCUCGAGACAUCGGCGCUCGAAGCCACCAACAUCGAGAGCGCUUUCCAAACCGUUCUAACUGAGAUAUUCAAUAUCGUCAAUAAGAAGAACCUUGCCUCUGAUUCGCAGAGUAACGGUAAUGGGAGCGCGCCGAUCUCGGGGAAGAAGAUUAUCGUGCCGGGGCCAGCGCAGGAGAUACCGAAGAGCAAGGCCUGCUGCAAAAGUUUGUAAGUUUCUUUCUCUUUUCCCUUUUUUUUUUUUUUUUUUUUUUUUUUUUUUUUUUUUUUUUUUUUUUAAAGCUUGCUGUGGAGAUUGUUUCUGUAUUCAAUUUUACAUCUUGUGGAUCUCGGUUGAAUCUUUAUAGCACUGCUAACGGGUGUGAGUUGAGAUUUAAAGAGGAAACUUUAGAUGUCUUUUGUAUUAAAUACGGUUGGAAAAUAUUUGUCUUGAUGGUCCAAUAUAAGACUGUUUUAUCUGCCAUCCAUCGUUUGUAUCUUAAAAUCUUGUGAACGGCGAAUGACCAUUCGUCUCAACAUUUGGCUGGAUUUUGAAAUAGCUUUUCUAUUUUGAGAAAUGCUUUUUGAGAUGCUUGGCUUUUGUUUAAAAGCUGCAGCAUUGUGGAGAAGCUGAAGAUAAAAAGGUGCAGAGACUUUUUUAGGUGUUGGCAGCUUGGGGGAAAGGAGUCCGACAAUUUUAUUUUGAUCGACUCUCUAGCAUUUUAUUUUUUUUUAUCAACCAAAUAGAAAUUUUUUUAAAAAAAGUGACAUGAUAAUCAAAAAAAACCUUAGUUAAAAAUAUAAGACAACUAUACUUAGAAUUUGAAAUCUCAGAUACCCACUUGCGUGGGUACGGCCAGUCAAAUAGGCCGUAGUGUUAAAAUUUAACUAUUAAUGUUUUGGUAAAAGAAUUUGCAAUUUGUUGUGAUCUGCUACUGGUCUUUUGCUAACGUAUAGUCAAUUUGAACAAAUUUUUUAGUUCGAUUUAGAGAAAUAAUUUGAAUCAAAAUAUUCAGAAGUGUCAAUUAAAUAUAAAAAAGAAAAAUUGACCAAAAGUAGGACCUAUUUGUUUGGAAAUGGCAUAUACUAACUCAUUCAACUCUCUCUAACUUUGACCUAUCACAAAUUCACAAUCACGUGAAUCUAAAUAGAUUAUACGUGCCUCGCAAAAAAUAAAAGCUUAUCUCCAAUUUGUAGCUUGUGCUGCACCAAAAAGCUAGCCAAAGAAUUUCUAUGAGAAAAUAGCUCGUAUAUUCUAGAACAAAAUCCUUCCAAAACCCUCUUUUUUCCAAGUGCUCCAGAAGCUGCAAAAAGCCUAAAAGAAAGUCUCUUGGACUAAACAGCCAGCUUACUGUGUUAGGCAAAAUACAUAUGCGCUUAGGGGCGUUUGGUUCCCCAUAAAAUGGUCAGAAAAAAUUUUUUCAGUUGAAAAUUAUUUUUCUAGCGCUUGGUUUGAAGUAAAAAAAAUUUACGAAAAAAACUAUUUUACAGAUUCUGUGGAAAAGCUUGCUUUUUCAUUUUCUGUGGAGAUUCAGCAGAAAACGAAAAUUCACCAUGAAAAAUUGCGGCUCAUGCUUUUCCUUGCAUCGGGGUCCACGAGCUCCGGUAAGAGCUAGUGGACCGAGAUGAGCUCACCUAUAUAUAUUUUAUUUAUAAAUAUAUAAUAAUUUAUUUUAUAAUAUUAAAUAUAUAUUAUUAUUACAUAUUAUAUUAUAUUAUAUAUUUAUUAUAUAAUAUAUUUUAAAUAUAUCUUGUUUAUAAGUAUAAAUUAUAAUAAUUAAAUAUAUUCUGAUAAUUAUUAUAUAUUAAUAAUAUAUAAUAUAUAUAAUAGAAAAAAAUAUAUAUAUAUAUAAUAAUUUUUCAUAUAUAGCAUAAUAAUAAUAAUUAUUAUAUAUUAAUAAUAUAUAAUAUAUAUAAUUAGAGAAAAUAUAUAAUAAUUAUUAUAUAUUAAUAAUAUAUAUAAUAAAAAAUAUAUUAAAUAAUUUUUUUUUUCUUUUAACCAAAAAACCGUUGCAAAAAAUUAAUUUUCUUUUCCUACAAACCAAACACAAACAACGUAAAAUUUUUUUUCCACCGAAAAUUUUUUUUCUACCGUUUUACGUGGAACCAAACACACCCUUAAUUUAAUACUAGUCAAUCUUGCAUAAAACUACGGUAAAAUCCUUUUGAAACUCAUGGUGCAUGAAACUGCAUCUAGCUGAUAAUUAACACAUUUCGCGAAGAAACAGAAAUAUUUGAACUCAAUACAAAUCAACAAAAAAAUCAUCAUCAAUGCCGACCCGAGUGAAACCCCUUGUGAAAAAGCCUUGAGAACUCCAACAGUCAAUAACCAGUCGGUCCAAAAGUCAGUCUCAUCAAUGAAAAAUCGAGAGAGAGAGAGAGAAAGAGAGAGAGAGGGUGGGGUGGAGGGCAGGACCUAAGGUUUCAAGCGGCGGCGGGCGAUGCCUUGGACGCGGCGACGGAGAGCUUGGACCGCCGCUUGGCGAGGCUUUCGCUGCGGCGCUCACGCUGUUCCUUGAGGCGGGUGGCGAGGAGCUUCUGGUACUCGGCGGCCUCCGCCUUGGCCUUGGCGAUCCUUUUCUUCUUGUCCGCAAUACGAGCCCUCUUCCUCUGCAGCGUCAGCGGCGUCACCAGCCUCUGGAUCUUCGGCGCCUUGCUACACUUCUUCCCUGCAGAUUGGCAAAAACAACGAGGAAUGAGAAAAAUAAGCUAAGCAAAAUGAAAAAAUAGUACACAAAUAUAAAGCACUUCAAUAUCGGAGUUAAUAAGCAGAAAUAAUAAGUCGAAAACUUGUGCAAAAAAACAAAAUAUAUUAUCCAUUGUUGCAGCCCAAAAGGAUCACAAAGCAGCCUACUUGAAAUGACCAACUAACAAAGAGAUAUUUCCCUAUGUAUACCUGCAGAAUACGAGUUUUCAUAUAAGCCCUUCGAAAACCUUUCCCCACCAAUUGGAUGACAACCUAACUUUAGAUAAUGGUAUGUUUGUAAAAAACCGCAAUUUCGAGGGGCAUGUAUAAAAUACAAAAUAGCUAAUUUUUGAAGGGAUGUAAAUAUAAAGGCCCUAAAUCCAGAUAGAAUCAUAAAUUUGCACAAAAAAAGAAAAAAACCUGAUUUGGUGGUAAAGGUGCGGCGGUAUGUAUUAACAUAUUUACGGACAUCAUCCUCCUUGGAGAGGUUGAACAGCUUCCGGAUCUUAGAAGCCCUUUUGGGUCCCCUCAUUCUGGGUUUCUCGAUGUCAGUCAGGCCAGGGAGAUCAUUCUCCCCUUUCUUGACAAUAACCAAGUUCAGAACAGAGAGGUCGGGGCUGACGAUACACCCACGGACGGACUUCCUCCUCCGUUCUCCGUUACGCCUCCCGUACCCACGGAAGCAAGGAGUUCCUGGGAAGGAAUGACAGAUUGAAGAAGAUGAGAAAGGAACAUAUACGGGAAAUCUCUUCCAUAAAAAUGCAUUAAAGUUAGCUUCUAUAGACCUCAUGUGAAUUAUAAAAACAUAUUGGUCGGUGAACUCUUUCGUUGUUAACUGGUGACAUUACAAGAACAUGCCAAAUUCAUCCAUUCCGGCAAAAUAAAGUCUUUAUUACUUUAGUUCUUAUCCAUUAAUUUUAACUGUUUUCAUUUGAAUGUUGCAGACUUAUGAAUUCUUGUUAGAUCUUAAUUGUCCGCGUCAGGAAAAGUGAUGAUAUAUACAUGUAAGAUUAUGUCGAGUGCAUAUCUACUUGACACAAAAGAAUGCCAAUGGUGAUCUACGACAGAUUAAAGAAUUAAUUGGUAAGAGAAAAGAGUUCAAGAGACAAAUAGACAUCUUCAUAAGAGAGAGAAAUUGUAAAAUGACGUCGUAGCAAAGCUGCCUUAUGCCCAUCCAAAGAGGAUAACAGGAUAUCAAGUGUAGAAAGGUAAAUAGCAGCACACAAGGUUACCUCUAUGAAGCAACAAGCGGACACGUCCAGGGGUAAGGACACCCUGCUUCAUUGGAAAGCCCUGCUUGUCACAGCCUCCCAUGAUUUUGAAAACAUAGCCCUUGAACUCCUGUUAGAAAAAGAAAAAAAAUAAUAAAUCAAUGCCCUCAUGGAAAAAUAUCGAAUAAAUAGUUUUCGGAAAAUAAGUUGUGCUCAUGCUUACCUCACCAAGAGCAUCCCCACUGACCUCCUGAGAGAUCCUUUUGUCGAAGAAGGCGCGACUGCAAAUGUCACAGAUUCAUUGAGUAAGCUUCUUAACAUAAGUGGAAGAAAAGAAAACUAAUCAAUAGGAAGUGGAUUCUAGUUUACUUAGAAAAAAAAAAAUUCCAGAGUAAGAAUGUCCAACAAAUAGUUGGAUUCUCAAAUUAGAUCAUGAACCCUUACAGCUAUGUUUCUUAAAAUACCUUCAGACAAAGCAAUUAUACUUCAAUCAAGAAGACAAAAAAUGUGACAAAUAAACUGAAUCUAUUGCAAAAGCAUGAAGAGACACUUGAAUUUCAUACUGAUGCAAUUAUGUGCUGUCAAAUCAGUCUUCUAGCUCUAAUUAAUUCAACAAAAGACCAAAUACAAUGGACUCGCUCAGUCACUACUUGCUACAUUAAGGGACGUUUGGAUUGAUGUAUUGUAGUUCGGUAUAAACUAGAAUAAUGUUGGAGAUGCACCAUCUAGUUGUAGGCUAGCUUUUGGGUCUUUUAUUAAACAAUACUUCAAACCUAGGCGUCACGGACACUGAUACGGGACACAACACGGCUUGAACACCGCGACUCGGCAACUUAAAAAAAAUUAGGACACGGACACGGCAUUAACACCGCCAAUAAAAUAUAAUAUUAUUAAUAUAAUAAUAUAUUUUUAUUAUAUAUAAAAUAUUAAUUUUGGUGAAAUAUUGUUAUAUUUCUCAUACGAAUGAAAGUAGUAAAAUUUUCAUUGAUAGUUCAUAUAUUUAAAAAAAAAAUUCCACCAUACAUAAUUUAUUUAUAUUGUCAAAAAAAAAAAAUAUAUGCAUUCAUCAAAAAGCUAAAAUAUUUAUUAUCGUGCAUUACAUAUGCAAAGAAAAAGUAAAAUAAAAAUAGGUAUAUAUUUUUUUUAGUUGUAUGCGCUAUGGAUCAGCAUUAAACGGGCGUCCGAGGAGUGUCUACAUCGGACACAUGUCCGACACGGACACGUGCAUGUCCGACAGGGACACGUGAGGCUUAUAAAAGUGUUCGUGAUACGUAGCUUUAGACCAUUUCGAAGGGAAUUUGUUUUUGAGAACUUAAGCCCAUGGCUACCCGAUUGCCUCCUGGAUUUUCUCAGUGUCUUCACGAUGAACUGCAAGAGUAAUGUUUCUACUCUUAAUAAUUUUGAUAUAUUGCUGAAUCACAACUUCAUCAAUCCAAACACGGGUCUUGCCUUCCAUGAGAAUCAGAAUGAGUUCAGGUUAAGGUUAUUCGACAAUUCUUCUUAUUCGGUGAACUAAAAGAGGGCAAUAACUACAUUUGGUGGACUCAGAGCUUUGCGAGCCGGUGUAGCUGACAACUGGAAAUCUCAAAUGAAUCCACAAGGUCCAGAAUCCCACAAUGGUAUAUUUUACUCGCUUAAAGGUACUUAGUCAACUUGAAAUUCUACAUUUUUUUUUUCCAAAAACAUAUCAAUAGUCCAUAUUAAUUCCUUUUUAAGCUAAAAUUAUAUUAAAAGCUCCUAUUUGUUGGUAAGAAACAGUUAGCAGUAGUUUGAACACUUAAAGUGCUUCUUUUUGAAGCUCAGGGACAACUCAAUAACUAUGAAAAGAGAUGCAAAAAUUUGACAAGUUUACUAUACAUUAGCAAACUAGAGAUCAACAACCAUCACAUUCUACUUUAAGAUAUAUGGAAACUCAAACAAAGGUCAAUUAGAAGAAAAGAAGAGGAUCAUAUCAAACAUCAGACAAUAGAAUUCAUACAACGCUCCCUUGGAUCGAAUCUAAUUUAGCUCGGAAACGAAAAGAAAAAUCCAAUAAAACUCACAGUUUCUGGUCGUCAUCGAUCUCGAGCUUCUUCUGGCACCCUGUAGUCGGAUUCGCGAUAUUAAACUGCACAUUAAGCACGAAAAAAUCGACAAAAUUCAACAAAAAUCAAACCAAUUCCACCAAGAACGAACGAAAUCAAAAGAACACGAGAAUCGCUUCGGCAAAUGGAGGAUUCAUGAGGCUAGGGUUCGAGGUUUAGAGGAGAUUGUUACCUUCAUCGUGCACCGUGGAGGCGAUCGGAGGGAGAAGAGGAAGAGGAAGAGGAGAGCGCGAAGGGAGGGAGGGAGAAGCGGCCACUAGGGUUUCUCUUCGAAGUUUUCGGAGGGAUUUCGACGGGGCCCUUAUAUACCGCACCGAGGAAGAAAACACAGCGUUUCAAUUUUCGUGCGUUUAAUCUUGACCCUUUAUUUAACAUCAGUAUAUUUUGAUAUUUUUAUGUAUAUGGGGAUGUAGCUCAGAUGGUAGAGCGCUCGCUUAGCAUGCGAGAGGUACGGGGAUCGAUACCCCGCAUCUCCACUUAAGUUUUAAAAAUAUUUUUAUUUAAAUAAAUUUUUUUAAAUGGAAAUUUUUUUAAUUCAGUGUUCAAUUUUUCUUGAAAUUUUGAAUUUUCUUAGGCUGAAUUUAAAAUUCUUUUAUUUAAUUUAAUUUUUUUUUAAAUGGAGUUUUUUCAACUGAAAAUUUUCAAUCCAGCAUCUAGAAACUUCUUGAAUUUGAGUUUUGUUGGAAUAAAAUUUAUAUUUUUUUAAAAAAAAUGAAAAUCGGAAAUUCAACGUGUAAAACUUCUCUCUUAAACUUGGAGUUUUAUUUCGGACAUGCUUGGUUGUCUGUAAGUGAUCAAAGUGAAAAAAAAGUCACUUUUCAAAAAAGUGACUUUUAUAAAAAUUACUUUUGAAUUUAAUUGUUUGAUUUCAAAAAAGUGAAAGAAAAAAAAUAGUGUUUAUGACUUUUAUUGUUUAGUUUUAUAUAAGAAAAUAAAAAAUUAAAAUAUAUUUUUUUAGAUGCCUAGUUUUUUUUUUUUUUUUUUGUAAAUGGUAUGGAAUAAGGCAUGUCUUUUUCUUUGUUUUUUUUUGUUUAAGAUGUGUUAGUUUUUUUUAUUAAGAUACGGUAGUUUUUUUUAUUUUUUAUUUUUUAUAUUUUGUAAAUGGUAUGAAAGAAAGCUAUUGGAUGCGGUUCGUAAGUCGCAUGGGUAGGUGGCUCAUUUUUAAUAAUUUCAGAAUUUUUUUGUUGAAAUAAGUAAAUUUUAGUUAUAAUUCACUUUAUAGUCAAUCAAACAUGCUCUAAGAUAAAGUGAACCUUCAAAUAAACUUACCAAGGCUAUUGAUGAGCGUAAAAUUGUUUUUGCGCCGGUAUAGAAUACAAAAAAAUAAAAAUAUUUUAAUUUAACCAUCCAAUUAAAUUUUAAUCUUAUUAUUAAUUUUUUUAAUUUAUUUGUUUUGGAGCAGACAACCAUAUUUUGAUUUUUAAAUUGAGUGCAUCAUUUUUUUUUAUAAAUUUAAUUAGUAUGCCACGUAUAAUUUUUAUAAUUAUAAAUUUAUUAAAAUAAAUAAUUAAUUUAAAAUUUAAAAUUAAAAUAUUAUUGAUCAAUUUAAAUUAAAUAAAUUAAAAAAUUUAUAUGGUGGACCAAGUCGAAUCAAAUAAAUUAAAAAUUUGAUAAUAAAUAUUUGUAUUUAGAUAAGAUAUGCAUAUUUUUACUUUUUUUUUUUUGUCAAAGAUAUGCAUAUUUUUACUGACAAAAUCUACGUCCCUGGAUGUACUCCUUCGUACUUGCUUGGGUGGAAAAGAAUGGUAAAAAUUAAAUAAAAAGCUUAUUUUUUAACAAAAUAUUUUUUUUCUUUUUUUAAAUAUUUUAAAUUUAUACAUCAAAAACAAAAACAAAAAAAACCGCACCACUCUCUCGAUCCGCGAGAAGACAGAAUGACCAAUAGAAAGCUAGGAUCCAGCGCCAGCAAUCCGAGUGACAACUUGAUAGGUGAAUCCCAUCCGUAGGAUCAUGCUAAAUACUUAAAAAAUAAAAUAUCUCAUCUACACCGUCAAAUAUUGAAAAGUUCUACCCGGAUCCGUACCGACCGUCCGAUCAAUAAUGCAAAAAACCGACGAAGCUAUGUAACGGAUCCCCAUUUGCCCUAUAAAUUGCGUUCUACCUCCGACUAAAAACAAAUUCUUUCUAUAUUUUUCGAAAUCGAUUCGCCCUUAAUUCGACGAGGUAAAGGUUUUUUCUUUCCCCCUUUUUAAUUUUAUUUUUCUUUUUUUGCACAUUAAUCUCGUCGGUUUAAUGCAAUGCAUUGAUUAGCAGUAGGGAUCGCCAGUAAUUAGGGUUUUCUUUUUUCGAUUUUUUUGGCUUUUCUUUUAAUUUGAAUAAUUUUGCUGUUUACUUACAAAAGAUGCAGGGUUUUAUUCCUGAUUCGAAUUUGAUUAACAUUUUCUUUAAGUUUAUGAUUUUUUUCUUUUUUUUUCGAUUUUUUUUUGCACAUUAUUAUUAUUUUUUUGUAUUAAUCUCGUCUAUUUAGUGCAAUGCAUUGAUUAGCAGUAGGGAUCGUCAUUUAAUUAUUGUUUCCUUUUUUCGAUCUUUUUGGUUUUUUUUUUAAUUUGAAUAAUUUUGCUGUUUACUUGUAAAAGAUGCAGGGUUUCUGAUAUCUGAUUCGAAUUUGAUUAUCAUUUUCUUUGAAUUAAGGGUUUGUGAAUUUUCUUUUUUUUCAGAGCAAGUUUUUCUUUUCUUUUUUUUUUGCACAUUAUUUGUUUUUUUAAUAUUAAUCUCGUCUCUUUAGUGCAAUGCAUUGAUUAGCAGUAGGGAUCGUUAUACAAUUAGGGUUUUCUUCGAUUUUUUUGACUUUUUAUUCGAAAAAUUUUGCUGUUUUCCUACAAAAUAUUCAGGGUUUUCUUUUUUUCUUUUUUUUUUUUUGAGAGAAAAUUACUUUAAAACCUUAUAUGGAGAUGAGGGUUUCUGAUUUUUUGUUUGAAUUUGAUUAACAUUUUCUUUAAAUUAAGGGUUGGUGAUUAUUAUUCUGCUCUUAAUUUACCUAGUUUUUUUUGCCCAAUUCCGUGCAUCAUUUAGCCCUUGUAGUUCUUUUAGCACUUGAUUGAUUAUUACGUUUUUAUCAAACCGACAAAACCACUUAAACAAUUUAUCCUGUAUUGUUGGCUAACUUACAAAAUGCUCCUAGCUUGUAGCCUUCAUUAUAAUUAACCCAUCGUUUAAAAAGUUGCAUCAAGUUUUGACUCUCUUGAAAAUUUUACAUGCAAAACUUUCAUUAGAAUAUGUUGAGAUAUCAAACGAGUUUUGUGUGUGAACAUCUACUUUUAAAAUCACUAUUUGUGUAGAAGAUCUUAAGUUUACAAAAAGAUGUCUAAUUUUUUUCAGCAGAGUUAUGAAAUUUUCAUAAAUUUUUGGUUCUGAUUUCAACAAUCAUAUCAAAUUUUGUGGGUCCUAUUUGAGAUGUUGGAACACGGCAUGCUUAAAAUUGAUGCCCUUUUUUCAUUAAAACACUGGAGGUUAAUUGAUAUAUAUGGAGUAAAGUGCAGCAUUUUUUUUCUGAUUUAGCUUUUAGUUUAAAGAUUGGAGGUGAGAAUAGUGAAAACUGUUCUGUUUUCUGAUUUGCUUUCCUACAAUAUCUAUUCGUCUUCCUACUCUCCUAUUUAAGUUCUGAAUUUUUUUUUUCCCUUCUUUUUUUUCUUUAAUUUGAAUUGUCUACCUAAUGAUGCUGUUUAAGUUGCAGAUGGCCCGUACUAAGCAAACCGCUCGCAAGUCGACUGGAGGAAAGGCUCCAAGAAAGCAGCUUGCCACUAAGGUUCUCUUUGUUUUUUUCUACUUUUCAAAAAUUACAUCUAAUGUAGAUACUAAAUGAAUUCUAGUUUUGGUGAGCAUAUUUUCUGGGUUAGGAUAUUGAUUUUAAAGUUUACCAGGAUUUGAAUUGGAAUUUAAACAUAUGAGGAUAUGUAUAUCGACAACCAUAUCUAGCAAAAGUUGUAUUCAGAGGAUGGAUUGGAUGGAUAAUAUUUGACUAAUUUUAAUCUUGGACUCUUAUUUUUUUAUUUUUGUUUUUUUUCUUCUAUUCAAUUUGUUGUGGCAUAAGAUGUUGUCGUUUGAUGUUAUAGGCUGCCCGCAAGUCUGCUCCCACAACUGGUGGUGUGAAGAAGCCCCAUCGUUACCGGCCAGGAACUGUCGCUCUUCGGUAUCUUAUAGCUUUAUCAUUCACUAUCCUUUGUUAGUGUUUUUCAUAUUACUUUCAUCAUGAACUAAUGUGUUAUUAUUAUUUUAUUGAAUUCAGUGAGAUUCGGAAAUAUCAAAAGAGCACUGAGCUCCUAAUCAGGAAGCUGCCAUUUCAGAGGCUUGUGAGGGAAAUUGCUCAGGACUUCAAGGUCUCUCUCUCUCUCUCUCUCUCUCUCUCUCUCUCUCUCUCUCUCUCUCUGUGCAUGUGUGCAUGCCAUGAUGCAUCAUUACUCCUUGGUCCAUUGAUCUCGCUAAAUUCAACUUUGUUCUCAAUCUGUAGUUAGAAGAUUGAGAAUCCAUCCAGGUUUUCACUGUUGUCAUUUUCUGAUUAACUCUACCUGAGCUGCGAUUCACCUUGUAACUAAAUGUGGUGCUCAUUGGCCCUUUAUGUUGAUUUUGCUUUAUGCAGACGGAUCUGCGGUUCCAGAGCCACGCCGUCCUAGCACUACAGGAGGCUGCGGAGGCGUACCUCGUGGGUCUCUUUGAGGACACGAACCUGUGCGCCAUCCAUGCCAAGCGUGUGACAAUCAUGCCAAAGGACAUCCAGCUGGCUAGGAGAAUCCGCGGCGAGAGGGCUUAAAUUGUUGACGCUGCAUUUGGGUAUGUUAUUCGGAUGGUGUUGUGGUGAGAUUGUUUGUCUAGUUUUUUGGUAACUGUGUUUUGGAGUGCUCAUUUGGAAAAUACUUUGGUAAGCUCAUCAUAUUAUAGUCCAAUUUUAUUAGUAAUAUUGUUACUUUUUUCUUUUUGGGGUAGCGGUAAUAUUGUUGGUUUUGUUUAGGGUAAUGGUGGUGAAAGUUGCUUCAUACAGUUUGCUAGUUUUAAGUGAUUUUUUUUUUUCCUUGUCCAUUGUGUUCUUUAUUUUCUUUGCUUUUCUUAAGCUUUCGGAUGGUAAUUUUUGCUGUGUGAGUACAUAAUUGUUAAGUUGAGCUAGGGUGCAAGUACCGGCACCAAGGCCUUUGUGCUAUAGAGCCAUUUCAACUCCAUUAAACAUUAAGCAUAAUCUAGAAACCAAAUUUGAUGAUUUUUUUAUAAGAAUCGUUAAAAAGUAAUUACCUUAUAUUGUUCAUCGAAAUCAUCAAAUUUUGAGAUCCUUUUAUCAGUUAGGCUUAGUUUGGUAUUGAGGUCUAUUUAACGCUAUUAAAUAAAAUGGAGUUGUUGAAAAGCAUAUAUGGAUAUUUAUUUUUGCCUUUUCCGGUGGGAUUGCAGAAAAUAUAUCGUAAUUGACUCAUCAAUAUGCUGAAUGUAAUUUUACGUAUUUUCUCAUCGCACGUAAUGUAAUUUUUCCAUAAUUCCAAAUGAAGCUUUAGUAGUUGAUGUCAAAAAAUCAUAAAACUAAGUGGAUACUUCAAAUUUCUAAAAUCAUAUUUAACAAUGUUCAUUGCUGAAUUUGAUGUCGAUCAUUAAAACUGAUUUUAUAGCACAGAAGCCUUGGUGCUGUUACUAUCUAAAUGAUCGUUAGUUGCUCCAAUACCUAACUUUUUAACUUUGAGAGUCAAAAGUUGAUGCUGAAUGAAGGUAUCUUAUUAUCUUUGGCCUGACUAGAAUGCCAGAAUGUGUUGUGUGUGUUGUCAUGGCAACUGAGAUAAAGGUUUUCUUCUGUACAUUUUUUGACACCUUUUGGGGGGAAUAUUAGCAAGUGAUGUGGGGUACAUAAUUUUGUGCUUUCCUUUCUGGGUCUUGUUUGGAGCACCACUCCUUGAUUCUACCUGUGCCUUUAUGCUUCCUAGUGCCUUCUCUGCAACUAUGUCUAUGUUUCCUUUGAAUCCUAAAUUACUUUUUGAGUGGACUUUAUUUUUUUUUUUUUAACUUGUAUGUGGAGAGGAAUAAGAAUGUGAAGGGGUGGAGGAAUUGAUUAGAUCACCUCUCUUGUUUUCAGCAAAAUUAGCACAAAGUAUAAUGCAUUCAUUCUUUUUAUUUCUUUUUUUUAUUUUUAUUUUUGGGCAAUUUAUAUGCUAUUGCGGAACAAAAAUGAAAGGCUUGAAAAAAGGAAAAAAAGAAAAAAGAAGAGAUAAUGCUAUUAUGCAACCAAGGAGCUAUCAAACAAUUUAACCUACAACAAUAGUAGAGUGGCACAAAGUUUCCAUUUUUUGUGGGAAGGAUUUGACAUUUGGUGUUCGAGAUUUUAAGUUUAAAGUUUAAUUGUUUUAUAUAUUUUUAGUCGAGUGUAUCUAUGAAGAAAAAUAAAUAAAAUAGUAUGCUAUUUUUCUAUGAAAGAAAAUAAUAGAAAAGAGGGUUAAUACGAUACAAUUGCUCACAACUUAACAAACCAUUGCUCAUUACAUAGUUAUACACAAUUUCUUGUAUUUCAUAAAUCUAUGCCUAUGAAAAAUCUCUAUUACUUUUCCUUUUUUCCCUUUUUUUUAAUGACAAAUCCUUUAUUUUCCACCAAUGUGCAUAAAAAAUUUAUUAAUGUUGAAAUUUUGCAAAAGUAUGUUACUAUUUUGGAUUUUAUAGGUCCGGAUCUUGAAAAAAUUGACCAAAAUAUUUUUAUUUUUUUUCCCCUCUUUUAUUUUCUCUUUUUUUUUUUAUUCUCUUCGAAGAGGGCUGCGGAGGCGGCCCGCCUCGCCUCUACUCUGUGUGCUCUCACGCUCGCUCGCACCUGCACACCCUUGCUCGUGCUUGUGCACCCUCGCGUCCACCUGGGGCUGGCAACGAGUGAGGUGGAAACGGAGGAGAGUGUGACAACGGGAGGCGGCGAGUGCGGUCUCGGCGGGAUCGGAGACGAGGAGGGCAGGAGCAUUUUCGGUCAAGCACUUUUAUUUAUUUAAAACAAAAAAAAUAACUAAAGGCAAAAAACUAAAGAAUAAGAAAGAAUUAGAAAAGAAGAAAGGAGAAGAUAAAGUUGCACUGUUUAAAAAAAAUGUUGUACUGUUAUAGAUGUAAAGUGUAUUUUAUAAAAUAAAAGUUACAAUUUUUAAAACAAAAUUAUACUAUUUGGAUGAUAAUUACGUACAUUGUUUCUUAAAGAGGAGAAACAGUAUAACUAUCUCCUAAAAAGUAUAAUUUUUGUUUAAAAUGUAUAACGUUCAUCUUAAAAGACAGUUUAUAUCUCAAAAAGUGUAACUUACGUCUAUAACAGUUCAACAUUCUUUUAAAACAGUGUAAUUUUAUCUUCUUCUUUCUUUUUCUCUAGUUCUUUUUUCUUAUUUUUUUGCUCUCGUUCUUUUUUUUUUAUUAUUUUCUCUGGAAAGGGCGAUUGGGGCAAAGGCGGCCUGCCUCGCCUCCGCCCCGCAUGCCCUCGCCCUCGUCCGCGCUCGUGUACCCUUCCCCACUUUUCUCAUCUCCGACCCCGUCGAGGCCACGCUUACCACCGCCAUAUGGAACACCGUCUUGUUAUUGUCGCAGAGGGCUACAGAGGCAGUGAAAGAGGGUCGGAGAGAAAAAUAAGAGAGUCGUGGCACAGUCUCGACGGGGUUGGAGACGAGGAGAUGGGAGGUGGGCAGGUGCGGGCGAGGUCGCGUAGGGCAGAGGCAAUGCAAGGCGUCCAGAGGGCGGGGAUUGUGUGGGCGAGGGCGAGGGCGAGGGCGCGCGGGGCGGAGGCGAGGUGGGCCACCUACGCCCUUGUCGCCAUUUUCGGAGAGAAUAAAAAAAUAAGAGAAAAAAAGAGUGAAAAAUAAAUAAGGAAGAAGAAGUAAAUAAAGAAAAAGAAAGAAUAAGAUGAAGAUGCACUAUUUUAGAAGAACGUUCCGUAAUCUUUGAGGCGUAAAUUGUACUCUUUAAGAUGAAAGUUAUAUUUUUUGAACGAAAAUUAUAUUUUUUGAAAAAUAGCUAUACUGUAAGUGUGACGUUCUUUUAAAAUAGUACAACUUUAUUUUCUUCUUCAUUCUUCUCUAGUUUUUUUUUUUUUGUUUUUUAAUUUUGACCUUUAGUUAUUUGUUUUUAUUUUAAGCAAACAAAAGUGCUUGAUCAAAGAUGUUCUUGUGUACUCCUCGUCCUUAUUGUCUCCGACCUCGCUGAGAUCGCACUCGCGGCCUCCCGUCGUUGUGUUCUCCUUUGUCUCUACCUCGCUCGUCAUCGGCCCCAUAUGGACCACGUGCCCUCUCCCUCCCCAGUGAGCUUCUCGGCGUCGAGAAGCACUUUCUCUUCGUCAUUGGCAGCGGUGGUGAGGGCACGGGUUUUCAAAAAGGGGUUUAGUGGGUGAAAAAUUUGCUACAGUAGAGAUAGGGGGUGAAUACGGAGGAAAAGGAUGCAAUGUCGUCCUCGUUACCAUUAUGGAGGGCCGCAGAGACGGUGGAAGAGGAUCGGAGAGAAAAAAAGAAGGCGAGGUCGGAGAAGAGAAGGGUGGGGGGUGAGCGGAUGCGGGCAAGUGCAUAUAGGGAAAUCGAAAAUAACGGUCCAAUUUUACAAAAUCUUAAAACUUGUGAAUUUUUUAUACAAAUUGACCUUAUUUUCCUUUAUCUUAUAUGCAUACAAUACAAUAAAAAGAAAACAUAAACAGAUUAUUUAUAAGAAACACCCUCAAUAGAACAUCCACUUGGUAGAACUCUUCUCCUUCAUGGUUUUUGAGUGCAACAGCUUAGCCCAAAACCUCUUCUUCUUCUUCUGCUCCUUCUUCUCCAUGUUCUCCUCCUCUCUCCCUUGUUUCUCCUCUGCUUUAUUCUCCUUCACAUCCAAAGAAAGAGACCUCGUUGUUUCCUUCGUCGCCUCGGCUUUGGUCACCAUGUUUUCUUUGAAUAACUGUUGAGAAUUGUUGGUGAAGUUGGGUUCUUCGCCUGGAGGGGAGGCAGCGCAACCGGAGGAGUCAGUCGGAGAGGAGGAAGAAGAAGAAGAUGCGUUUGCGGUCGUCGAAGCGGAGGAGGAAGCUGACAGGUGAAUCAGCUUCUCCCUCAAGCAGUAGGGGCACACUCCUUUGGACUGCUUGUGCUCAAAGUGCUUCCUGCAUCUCUCCUCCCACUCCUGUGACCUCCACAUCUCUCUCUCCCCCUCUCUCUCUCUCUCUCUCUCUCUCUUUCUCUGUGUUUUGUUUGUUAUCUCAAGGGAUAAUAACUUCUUCUAUCUCUCUCUCUUUGUUAUCUCAAGGGAUAAUAACUUCUUCUAUUGCAAGUGCUCUGAAUGUGUCAUCUGAGCCCAUCUUGCAAAAAGCAUCCACUUAUAUUUCCAGCUUUGCAACUUUGACUUCUUGUGUUUUUUUUUUAAAAAAAAUCUCAUUUGUGGACAAAAAUACCCUGCAAGGAUAUUUGUAGAGAGGAGAUUUUAGCUAGGGAUAUUUUGGUUCAUAAAAAAAGAUACUUGAAAUAAAAAGUUCCAAGAACACAAAAAAGAUGGGUCAAAAAUUACAAAAAGAUGCUUUGGGUUCCCACAAAACAGCCCCUUAGUACCAAACUACUAUUUAAAAUAUAUUCUUUGUUUUUAUAAGUAAUAACAUAGCAUGUAAAUUAUAGCGAUUCAAUUACAGUAUAAAUUUUACGUUUCCUAAUAUUAUACGUUAAUAUUUUUUUUCUAACCUUUUAGGCUAAAUAACAUUAGAUAAUCUUCGAUACCAAUUUAGUUAUAAAAUUAUUAUGUCACGAAAUUAUAUGAAUGUAUUAAAUUCUUAGAGCUUUAUAUAUAUUAAUAUAUAAAUAAUAUAUAAGAGCAGUAUUCUAGUAUAUUUGUAUCAAUUUUUUUACCUGCAAAAUAUAAAAUCUAAGUGGAUGUUUUUUUUUUCUAAAAGAAUUAUUUAAAUUUUUAUCUUUAAUUAAAAAAGAGAAAAGACGUGGACGAGAAGUGGGAAAAGGAUGUUCUUGGUGGGAAUCUUUAUGCUUUUUUUUAUUAUCGUUGAGUGUGGAUUGGUUAAGGAGACCAACUAAAUUCACAAAAAAAAAAAAGAAAAAUAUAUAGAAAUUUACGUAGGCCCCACACGGGCCUAUCUGAUCGGCGAGGAGGACUCCGUCAAAGUAAACAACUCGGCGCGCGGGGAAACACACCCUUGGGUUUAGGUGUAAGUCAUGCACACGUGGCAUUUGGUGUAGCAAAUCAGCAAAUUAGAGCCCUCUUAUCCCCAUCUAACCCUUUUAGAUCAUACAAUGGACGGACAAAAUAUAUUGUAAUUAAUUUAUUAUAAUACACAAAAUUGCAUAUUAUGUAUAAAAAUAAAUAUUUUAGUUUAAUUAUAAUUGAUUUAUUUAUAAAAAUAAAUAAAUAUUAUUUUAAUAUCAUUUGAUUCAUGUUAUAUUACAUACUAAACUAAACAGAAUUUUUUUUUACUAAACAAAAUUUUUUUAGGAUCGAGAAGAGCAGCAUUAUGUACGGUUAAUAUGCACGGUAAAAAAAAUACGUGCAUAAAAAAUUUAAUGAAAUAAUUUUUCAGAUUUGUUUCACAUUAUAUGUAACAUAAUUUUUUUGUAAUUUCGAACAAAAUCUUAACCAAAGAGUGUUGUUGAUAGUUUUCAACGUACAAAUUGGCUCUACAGAUAUUUCAUUUAAUGCUAUCAAUUUUAUUGCCUGUGCUUCUGAUUUUACUGUUUAGUUAUUAUUAUCUAAGCAUUUGGCGCUCAAAUAUAUCAUAUGAUUAUUAAAAAUAAAACAAAUUUGAUCUUGCUUUUAUUAUAGGACAUCAUAAAAUGGUGUUGCACUGCGACUUACCUCCAAAUUAGGCAAUAUAUAAAACCAUAGAAAAAUUAAAAAAAUAAUUGUAUGCAAUUAUUCUUUUAAACACAAUAAAUAAGAAGAAAUAGUGGGAAGUAAUUUCACCCUUAAUUGUGUUCAACUAAAUGAAUAAAAAAAAUGAGAUCGUUACACACCUAACUAGUUUUUUAAUUAUAUUUAUUUAUAUUUAUAAUUACUUUCCUGUCCUUGUGAAAAAAAAAAGUUACACCAAAUAUUAUCUUUUUCCGUAUAAUAUUUUUUUUAAAAAAAAUACAUUAUAUUAUUCCCCACGACAGAAAGAGACUAAGCGUUGGUUUCGAACCGUCCAAUAAGAACGGAGGAAUCACCUGUGGUCCCCACAGCCCAAAUGGACGGCUCGGAUCGUUCCCUUGCAAAACAACAACCUUCGUUCUAUCAGAUCGGGCGGUGGAGAAGUGAGCCGUAGUCCUCGCGGUGACCGGGUCAACGGUGCCCGUACCCACGUAUACGCCAAUGAAAUAAUCGCCGCGAGGAAAUCGGACGAGACAUCGGCGAUAUUUCGAGGAGGGAGGAGGGCCCGCACGUGUGGGGGCACGACGCCGUCUUCUCGCCCAAUACUCUGCACGCACGUGUCACUCUUGCUAUUUGCUUGAAGCAUCGUGACCGGUUUUUUUUUAAAAAAAACAUUUAUUCCAUCAUUGCAUAUUUUAAAUAAAUUAAUCAUAUUUUUUAAUCAUUUAAAUUUUUAGGAUUAAUGAUUAGCACCAACGAAUCCGAUAAUAAAAGUGUAUUAUUUACAUUCUUUUAUGAAAAAAUUUUAAAUAUCAUUCAUAUGGUUUCACACUUUCUCACUUUAGUACCCUGUUGUUUAAAGUGUAUCAAUUUAGUGCCAUGUGAUUUCAUUUUUAUCUUUUUAUUAUUAAUUUCACUAAUUUUUUUGUUAAAUUAGUGACAAAGUUAAAAGUAAAAGUUAUUAAAGUAAAUAUUCAAUAAAUUUAAGUAAAAUAUAUGGAGAUUUUUAUAUAUAAUUUAACGAAAUAUUAACAAAAAAAUCAACGAAAAGAUAAAAAUGAAACUAUAUGAAACCAACUUGAUAUAUUUUAAACAACAAGCUACUAAAAUAAGAAAGUGUGAAACUAUAGAAGUGGUAUUUAAAAUUUACCUUUCUUUUUUAUAUUAGUCAUACAAUCAACUAGCAUAACGCGGAAGAUAAUUCAAGUCUAGUUGUAAGAUAGAUUUUGAGUUUUUUAUCUGAAAGAUUAUUUUGAUCCAUCUUAAAGUGAAUUUGAUUUUAAGAAUUUAAGCAUGUAGCUACCUACCAGAUCUUCUUAAUAUCUUCAUUGAUUUACGAUCAAAUUGCAAUUUUAUCAAUCCAAAUACUUUUAGGGCUUGUUUGGUUCAAGGGUGGAAUUGGAAUGAAUAUGGAAUGUGAAUGAAUUGGAAUGGUAAUUGGAAUGGCCCACUCCCCCAAGACGUGGUUUUUUUGUGGAUUGGGAAUUUGAAUAAGUUAUUCACAUUUUAUUAUUUGGUUUGUAUAAAUUAAAAAAAUUAUAGGAUACUAUAAUACUCAUUUUACUCUCAAAUAUAAAUUUAUAUUAUUUAAAAUUUAUGAAAAAUAUAAUACGGUUCUCUAAUAAGUUUUUCAAAAAAAAUAUCAAAUUUAUUUUUAAAAACUUUUAUUGAUGUGGGUUAGGGAUAGGGUUUUGAGAGAGGAUAGAGUUUUUUUUUUUUUGAUGAGAAAGGGGUGGAGAGAAGGAGGGUGAGAUGGUCACAUGAGCUUCGAGAACUUAGUGGGCUUCCAGAAUGAAAUCUCAAUUCGGGCUAGAAAAUCGGAAUGAAGUUGAAGGCUAAUGGGCCAUUCCCAUUCCAGUCCGGAAUAGAAAUCUCAAACCGAUUCAUGCGAACCAAACAAAAUUAACCGGAUUUGAUCAAACCGAUUUCCAUUCCAUACCCAAAAUGAAUGAACCAAACAAGCCGUUAGGGUCUGUUUGGAUCGAAGUCGGAAUCGGUAUCGAAUUGGAAUGAGAAUAAAUUGGAAAUGGAAUCGGAAUAAUUCAUUACCUCAUUCUGACUGGUUUGCCAACAGAAGCAGAAUCGGAAUGAACUAUUUUCAUUGUCGGUGUUUAAUUUAAAUAGCUAUCAGAAACAUAAUUAAAUUAAUAUGUUAACUUUAUCUUUAUAAUACAUUAGUUUAAAUUCAAACUGAAAUUAAAUAUUAAAAAGUUAUGCCAAAAUUUUAAAAUACUGCCAAAAUUUUAAAUAUAUGUUUUUUUAAAAAAAUAAAAUUUGAAGUUGAACGGAUAAUUCAAAAUAUAAAACUAAAUUUUAAUUUAUUUAAAUUCAAACUUAAAAUUAUGAUUUGAAUCCAUAAAUUUAUUUUAAAUAUUAAAUAAAAUUUGAAUAAAACUUUAGAUUUUAAAUUAAAAAUUUAAAUUUAUAAAUUAGAUUUGAAAUGCUUAAUUGAAAUUUAAUUUUUAAUUUAAGUUGAAAUUAAAAUUUAAAUUUAUAAAUAUAAUUUUUAAACUAAAACUUAUAUUUUAAUUAAAAAAUAAGUUUAAAAAAGUUAAAUUUAAUCGGAAUAAAUCCAUUCCGCCUAUAUUUAAUUUUCGAUCUGGCCUUCUAGGCGGAUUGGUAAAAGGGAUAAUUGGGAAGACUCCUAUUCAUUCAGGAAUCGGAUUCGAAAUGAGAAUUCCGCAUACCAAACAUGGAUAAAGAGAUUUUUUAUUCCGAUUCCGAUUCUAAGGUGAAAAUGGGCGAACAAAACACACCCUAAGCCCUACCACAGGAACAAUUAUGAAAUAGAUCAUAAGGGCAAACAAUGAAACAAAUAUGUUAUUAGUGAGUGAUAGAUUCCUAAAAAAUUGUUAAAAACAAGGGUUCAAAAACAUAUACGGAAAGCACUAUUUUGACGGUUUUUAUUUUCUGGAUAAAAGGUUGAAAACACGAAAAAUAAAAUUUUUUAAUAAAAUUUGAAGAACCUUUUCAAUAAAACUACCUAUUUGGGAACCAAACAUCGAAAAUAUGAACGGCUUUUUUUGAAUAUAUUUCGAGAAACCAAAUACUCCCUCUAUAGUCUAUAUUUAUAGAAAAAUAAACUAAAUUACAAAAAACGUCCCUGUAUUUUAGGCGAUGUUCUUUUGCCUCUACAUUAAAAAUUGUCAAUUUUCCUUUUAUAUUUUACCCUAUUUCAAAUAAGUCCAAAAAUUUAAGAUAAUUGAUUAACUACUUAGAAAACUUCAUAAAAAACUAGUUAUACAUACUUAUUCUAUAUCUUAACAUUUAUUUAAUUUUUAACUUAAAAAUAUAUAACAAAUUAGAUGAAAGGAAUAUCAAAUUUUACUAAUGUUAUCAAAAUUGAUAGUAAAUUGAACGAGUUCAUUCACUUUAUAUAGUUAUACUGCAUUAAUCAAAACAAUUUGUAUUUAUAACCUUUUCUUUAUAAAAUUUUAUAAUUGGAUUCAACAAUCACUGUAAAUUUUAAGAGCUAUUCGAAAUAAUGACAAAUUGUAGAAAGCUAAUUAAUUUAACUUUUUGUGUAGAAAAGUAAUUGAGAUGGGUAAUGUAGAUGAUUUUAGUCAAUCGACUUUAUUCAAAAGGCAAUAAAAAAAAUAAUAAAAAUAAAAAUAGAAAUUAAAAAGAAAGAGAAAAAGUGUAAAAAAUGCAGUCAUUUGGACUAUGGUUAUAAAAAUAAAAAUAAAAUAAAAAGUUUUUUAUGGUGUCGAUAAAAAAUAAAAGUUGAAGUGGCUAUUUUAGAAUUGCUUAUAGUUAGCAUAGUUAGAGUUAGUUAAUUCGUGAAUUAUUAAAAAUUCGAAUAAAACGGCAUGUAUACAAUUCAUUCCUAAAAAGUCAGAAUAAUACGCGAAUCGUUUGAUUAGAUUUAUUAUUCGCGAAUAAUUCACAAAUGCUGAACUAUUCGGCCAAAAAAACACGCAAAUUUUUUAAAUAAAAUUUCUUUCUGAAUUAUCGUCGAAUUAUUCACGAAUUAUUAAAAAACUUCAUGAACUUUCGAAAUAUGUGGAACAUGAAAAACAUGAGGAUGGAGACGACAAUAAAAUUUACUAUCAUUUUUUUUACUUAAUCUACUUUAUUUUGUAGCUCUCUUUUUUUAUAUUUUUAAGAAUUUAUAACUAUGAAGAUGAGAAGGCGGACCCGCGACCCGUUCGUCCGCUUACUCGCUUAUCAUGCAUUUUCGGACCGAGCAAGCCAGCGGAGGCCCAAUCUGCGAGCGAAUUUCAGCCCAGCCAGCCGAAUUCCCAUUCUUGCCAAUUUGCAUUCUAGCCCUCAUAGGAUAGUUUUCUUUAAUUUCAGUAUUAAGUAGUAGCGAGUAUAUAUACAAGAAUAUAAUUGCAACAGGAUAAAAAAGAAAUUAAUUAGUAUUUAUAAUCUUUUAAAGUUGGGCUAAAAAUUUAAACUUAAUAAUCUAUAUUAUAUAUUUAUAAUACAAAUAUAAUUAUAUAUAUAUAUAUAAUUUAUAAAAUUAUAUUAAUAUAAAAUAAAUAUAAUCGAGCUGUUAUUGAGCCGAACACGAGCGAGCUGAUCCUAGCUCGUGUUCGGCUCGUUUAUUAAACGAGCUGAAAAAUCUAGCUCAUGUUCGGCUCGUUUACUAAACGAGCGAGCCGAUCUCGAGCUCAUUUCGAGCCGAACACGAGCUGGCUCGCGAACAGCGAGCUGGAUUGCCACCCCUAGUUAUGGACAGAGCAAAAUAAUAUCUUUAACUAUAUAUCCAUUUUUUAAUUUGGACCGUAAAAGUAAAAUUAUUUUACCAAAUAUAUCGGUGUGAUUGAUAAAAAAUCUCACCUAUUCGAUGAAUGAAUUGUUUGAUUUACAUUCACUUUUGGAUUCAUCAGUAGCAUCGGCACUUCUAUUGAUAACUACAUGGAACGUCAUAUGGCCAUUUGAUUGUGUAACUAACUUUUGCGUUAUGUAGGCAUGCUCUUACAUUAAAGAGGUUCUAUCGAUUGAAUGUUUGGUAUGUGGCAAAGUAGUGGAGUCUUACAAUAUUAUUAAAACAGAUAAAUUACAAUUUUGGUCCUUAAACUAUAAAAUAUGUGAUACUCUAGUUCUCAAAUUUUAGUUUACCGUAAUUUUUGACUCAAAUUUUUUGAAAUAUUAUCACAAUCUAAUUUAUCAGGCUAAAUAUUGACAAAAAAUUAUUAAAUUAUUAAUAUAGAAGUGAUGUAGUAUUAAAUAAUGCGAAACAACCGUUAUUCUCUAAAUACUUAAGCUAUCAUCCUUUUAUCUGGACUGAGAUAUUUUUUGAUAAGCUUAAGUUAUCACUCUCACAUCUAGACAUUUGAUAGGCCCAAUACACGAGGUUAAAUUAAAUAGGAGUAAAUUAAUAAUACUAGGAGUUUGACAGGACUCGAACUCAGAACAUUCUGUUCUAAUACUAUAUUAAAUUAUGUAUAACAAUCAUUAUUCUGUAAGGUAUCGUUUGGCUCGGAGAUAAACAAAAAAAUGGCUAUUCCAAGGAUAGGUAUAAAUUGAGGUAUAAGCGGGAAUUAGAUCAAUUUUGCGUUUGGAUGAAAAUUGAGUUAUUCCUGGGAAUAAAAAAAAUUGCGUUUGGUUAGGUAAUAUAGAAUAAAAAGAAUAGUGAGUUUUAUAAAUAAAAAAUAAUGUAUUAUCCUCUUAUUAUAUUUGAAUUUGAAUUUUAAAAUUUUAAAAUUUAUAUUUUUAAAUUUAAAAUUUUAACUUUGAAAUUUCAUUAAUUGAAAUUAAAAUUUAAAAUUUAAAAUCUCAAAUUUUCAAUUCAAAAUUUAAAUUUUAAAUCUCAAACUUUGAAUUUAAGAUCAAAUUUAAAUUUGAAAAAUAUAAAUAUCAAAUUUUAAAUUUAAAAAUUUAAAAUAUCAAAAUUUGAAUUUAAAUUUUAAAAUUAUAAACUUUAAUUUUGAGAUUACAAAUUAUAAAUUUUAAAAUUUAAAAUUUAAAAUUUUUAAAUUUUUAAAAUAAGAAUAGGGAGGGGAACAAUUAAUAAAAAUAAUUUAUUAUAAUAUUUAAAUAUAAUUUAUUAUAAAAUUUAUUAUAAUAUUUAAAUAUAAAUAAUAUGUAUUAAUAUAGUAUAAUUAAUAAUUUUAUAAUAAAAAUAAUGUAUUAUAACAUACACCAUAUUAUAUUUAUAUAAUUUAGUUUUAAUUUAAUUUAUAAUUUUAAUUAAGUUUGAAAUUAAAUAUUGGAAUAACACUAUUCCACCAAAAUGGUGGAAUAGCAAAUACCUUGCUAUUCCGAGAUAACCGGGAAUAGCAAGGUUUGACCGGGAUAAAAUAUUCAAGUAAAAUAUUAUCCCGUUUGGCGGAAUAGUGGGGAUAACUUUCGUUAUCCCUGCUUAUCCCCUUUACCAAACAGGGCCUAAAAGCUUAAACCAUCUGAUAAUAUUAUUUUUAUAAUUAAUAUUUAAUAUCUUAAUUAUUAUCGUAUCAUUAAUUACAAUAUUUUUAUAUUAUGUCGGUCUUAUCAAAUGGUUGGAAUUUUAUGUUCCAUAUUUUGAUUUACCCUUUUGAAACCGUUGGGCCAAUUUGCAUAAAAAAUCCACUUAUUUUGGGCUUUCGCAAAAUCGGGCUAUCUUUUUCGUUUUUGCAGAUUCGGUCCGCUUUUUCAGCAAACUGACCAAAAUAUCCUUUUUACUUUUUCUCUUUCCUCUUUCUCUCUCCUCUUCGUUUCUCUCGUUCUUUUUUUUUUUUUCUCGCUGGCAGAGCGGAGGCGGAAACGGUCCGUCUCACCUCUCACCCUCAUUCUCUCGCCCUCGUCCUCGCCCUUGCCCUCGUCCACGCACCCCCCACCUUCCUCGCCUCCAACCCCGCGAAGGCCGCGCCACGACUUUUUUUUUUUUUUGCUUUUUUCUUUUCUUUUCUUCUUCGACUCUUCUCCACCGUCUCCGACGACGACGCCUCUCUCGUCCUUCCCCGCCCUUCCCGCCCUUCUCAUCUCUCCCUCUCCCUCAUUCUCUGUCGCCUCCGACGACGAUGCAUCUUCGCCGGCGCCGACGUCGACACCGUGGAGGUCACUGCGGCGCUACAGGCUCGGAGCGGGGGUCCUUAGCGGCGUCGUCGCCGGCACCGUGGCUGUUGGCAGAAAGGGUGACAAAAAAAAAUUAUAGAAAAAACAAAAAAAAAAUAGAGAUAAAAAAUUAUAUAAAAAGAAGGAUGAACAUGAAAUUGCAUCGUUAACUACAAAAAAAUUAUAAGUUGCACUACUUAAAAUGUAAACUGCAGCUUUAAGAUAAAAACUAUACUCUUUAAACGAAAAUUACACUCUUUGAGAGAUAUUUACACUGUUUCUCUUCUUAUUGCACUCUUUCAGAUGUAAACUGUAUCCAUUAAGAUGAAAGUUACACUCUUUAAAUGAAAGUUGCACUGUUUUUCCUCUUGUUGCACCAUUUUUUCUCUUGUUACACUAUUUUUUAUCUUAAACUGCACCCUUUUAAGAGAUAUUUAUACUAUUUUUUCUCUUGUUGCAUUGUUUCUCCUCUUGUUGCAUCAUUUCUGUGUAAACAAGAGAAGAAAUAGUACAACAAGAGGAGAAACAUUGCAACAAGAGGAGAAACUGCACUGUUUUAAGAGAUAUAUAUACUGUUUCUCCUCUUACUGCACCAUUUCUGUGCAAAUAAGAGAAGAAAUAGUGGAACAAGAGCAGAAACUGCACUAUUUUAAGAGAUAUAUCUACUGUUUCUUCUCUUGUUCCACUGUUUCUCCUCUUGUUGCACUAUUUCUGUGUAAACAAUAGGAGAAAUAGUGCAACAAGAGGAGAAAUAAUACAAUAAGAGGAGAAACUACACCCUUUUAAGAGAUAUUUAUAUUGUUUCUUCUCUUGUUGCAUUGUUUUUCCUCUUGUUGCACCAUUUCUGUGUAAACAAGAGGAGAAAUAGUGCAACAAGAGGAGAAACAGUGCAACAAGAGGAGAAACAGUAUAAAUAUCACUUAAAAGGAUGCAGUUUAAGAUAAAAAAUAGUAUAACAAGCGAAAAACAGUACAACUUUCGUUUAAAGAAUGUAAUUUUCAUCUUAAUGAUUACAGUUUAUAUCUGAAAGAGUACAAUAAGAAUAGAAACAGUGUAAACAUCUCCCAAAGAGCGUAAUUUUCGUUCAAAGAGUAUAAUUUUUUUCUUAAAGCAGCAGUUUACAUCUUAAAUAGUGCAAUUUAUAAUUUUUUUUUUAAUUAACGAUGCAAUUUCAUAUUCAUCCUUCUUUUUAUAUAAUUUUUUAUCUUUAUUUAUUUUUCUGUUUUUCUAUAAUUUUUUUUGUCACCUUCUCUGUCAAUAGCUACGGCGCCGGUGACAACGCCGCUAAGGACCCCUCGCUCCGAGGCUAUAGCGCCGCAGUGACCUCUACGGUGUCGACGUCGACGCCGGCGAAGAUAAAUCGUCGUUGGAGGCGGCAGAAAAUGAAGGAGAGGGAGAGAUGAGAAGGGCGGGGAAGGGCGAGAGGUGUCGUCGUCGGAGACGGUAGAGAAGACUCGGAGAAGAAAAGAAAAGAAAAAAGCAAAAAAAAAAAGGUCGCGGCGCGGCCUUGGCGGGGACGGAGGCGAGGAAGGUGGGGGGUGCAUGGACGAGGGCAAGGGCGAGGGUGAGAGUAUGAGGGUGAGAGGCGAGACGGACCGUUUCCGCCUCCGCUCUGCCGGCAAGAAAAAAAAAAAAGAACGAGAGAAACGAAGAAGAGAGAGAAAGAGAAAAGAGAAAAAGUAAUAAGCGUAUUUUGGUCAGUUUGCUGAAAAAGCGGAUCGAAUCUGCAAAAACGAAAAAGGUGGCCCGAUUUUGCAAAAGUCCAAAAUAAGUGGAUUUUUUAUGCAAAUUGGCCAAACCUUUGUACUCGAUUUUUAGGGAUUCGGUGUAUGAGAUAUAUUUAUACACCUGGUGCGGCAAAUAAUGUCUUGUUUACACGAGCACCUGGUUAGUCGUUAGAGUGGUUUUCUCCUACUCGUGCCUAACUCACCGCUCACCUAGACCCUUCGUUCUAGCCAAUGAACUUACGACACGUCAUCCAUCUCGGGUGGCCCAUCGCUUUCCCAUUUAUGACUAGACCAAGUUCAAAUUAUAAAUAGACCGGGUUCACAAACACCUACGUACGCACCCACGAUAUUAACAACACAUGCAUUAAGCCCACUAAUUCAAUCCCACGUGUCAUAAAAAUAAUCUAAUUUUAAUGCCCAAUUAAUUAAUAAUUAAUACCCAACCGCCAUUUUAGUGCCUAAUCCGUUGUCCAUCAACCUCAUGUUCCUGACAAUUUAUUUCUGGACCCGGUCCACCAUUUCAUCCCCAAAACUCCCCUUAUCAUCUAAUUGGUAAUGACUUAAAAUCGAAUCACCUAUUCGAAUAUAUAUAAAUCUAACGUGUUUCAUUAAAUAGACACUCUCAUUCUAUAAAUCAUGCCCAAUUAUUUAAUGUUUAAAUUUUGGGUUUUAUAUUUGAGUUUUGUUAGGAAAUUAACGUAUGCUAUCAUAAAUUAUAUACAACAGUUAUUUUUGAGUAAUCCUUUUAUAGUACUAAUCUUUUCAAAUACAUUAAUUUUUAGUUUAAUUUCACUCUCAUGAAUUUUAGGGUUUGUUUGAUUUAUCUAUAUUAAACUUUAGAAUCGAAAUGAGAUUCAUUAAUUUCAAUAGUUGUUAUUUUGUAGGAAUUUAAUUUCGAUUCUCAUUUCACUUUAUAAUAAAACUGAUGAAAAAUAUAUUAAUGCUCGAAUCUUGCAAUGAAUAUUAAGUUAGUUCGUUCCAGAAUAAGCCACUAAAAAGUUUUUCUCGCAAACAUUUUCCCUCCUUUCCCUUCAUCAUACUUUUCUCCCUUAAUUAUUUUUUUUUUUCAAAAUCCUAAUAAGUAUCUCAAACUACCCAUUUCAAAUUUUUUUUUUCAAUAAUGAACUAAAUAAUUUUUGAUGAUCGCCAUUCCAUCUUCUACCAUUGCAAUUUAUUUUAAUUUUCUAUUUUUAUUCCAAUCAUAAAUUGAAUAUGAUCUAGAAGUAAAAUUUAAUAACAGUAAAAUUCUAUCUCUCAUGAAAUUUCUUUCCAUUAUACCGAAGUCUAUAAGAUUUUGUCUAUACUUGAAUACUGAAGUCCGUUAUUUAGUGAUAGUUUAUUUGGUAUGAAAAUUGUUUAUAGUGAAAUAAUAUAUUCGACGCUUAAAAUUAUUUUUUUAGAAUAAAAUAAUUUUUUUCGCAGGUGAGAUAUAAUACUCUACAAAUCUAUAAGAAAAAUUUUUAUAUUGAUUAAUUUAUUUUGAAAUAGCCUAUUCCUAAGUCCAAAUCUAUAUUUAUACCUUCUAUAUCUAUACAUUAAUUCUCAUAGUUACAUUCUACGUAUACCCACCCCUUAAUUUGUAAAAGAGUGAUUUUUUUUUAAUAAGGUUUAAUAGUUUUGUUGAAACGAUUAAAUUUUUUUUAUUAUAAUUUUAUUUUUUAAAAAUAUUUCUCUAUAAAUAUAGAUUAUAUUUAUUAUUUUUAUACUAAAUUAAUAUUUUAAUCAUUUUAAACCACAAGGGAACAAAGUGAGAAACUACAAAACUACAGGGGGUUUUUGAAGUUUUUUCUAAUAUAAACUAUAGUUACUAUUUUUUAUNUCGAUCGAAUUGGAGCGAAAACCCCAAGUAGUUCGGUCUAGUACCUGAAACACGGAUUGGGAGACGAACUUGCCGUUGCUCUGCGACUGCGCCGCGAGGGAGACGAAGAGCGAUCUCAGAUCCUCGAGCUCUUGUUGCGAGAAAGCCCUUUCCAUGGAUGAUUCGCGGGAGAUCUAGGGUUAGCAGAUGAAGAGAGAGAGAGAGAGAGAGAGAGAGAGAGAGAGAGAGAGAGAGAGAGAGAGAGCAGUUGAUGAGCGUGAUAAGAAGGGAUUGAUUUGAUUUGAUUUCCCACCAUGGCUCCGCAUGCCCGGAUGCUGUUUCCCUAUCCGGACAACGCGACGACUUGCUUGUUCGAGUGCUCCGACGCGUGCGACUUCUACCACCUCUGCCGUCCCCCCUUCUUAUACGCCCCUCCCCCUCUCCGUCCCCCUCCUCAGCAAAACCCUACCUCCCCGAUCCGCCUCCACCACUCCUCCCGCCUCUCCCUCGCCCUCGUCGCCUCCGCGUCCUCCCUCGCCGCCGCCUCCCUCGUCCUCCUCCUCUUCUUCUUCCUCGGCCCCGCCCCCCUUCUCCCUCGCCGCCGCCGCCGCCGCAGCCGCCGUGUGCCUCGCCGAGUUCCGGGACGGGGAGCUGCUCCGGCUCCUGCCCAAGUGCGGCCACGCCUUCCACGUUGCGUGCAUCGACACGUGGCUCCGGGGACACGUCAACUGCCCCCUGUGACGCGCUUCCCUCGUUAUCGCCUUCUCUAUCCCCGUCGUCGUCGUCAUCUUCUUCGGACUCCACCAUUAGCGAUCAUGAUGGCUCCGAUUCGAGUAAUCAGGUGGAAGUUAGGGGAAUUGAAGAGGGAACAGAUGCUGGAGAUGUCGAAAUCGGAGGUGAUAAUGCAAUUGAGGUUAAUUCGACAGUAGAAGUGUCUUCUUCAUCUAGGGUUCUUUCUAACUCACAGUCACAGGUAAUGAUCUAAUGAACAAGUUUGGGUUUCUCGUUACAACCAUUUUUUUCAAACAUUUUGUAGGCACUAAUAGCCCCUUUUUUUUGUUCUUCUUAGGAUAAAGUAUGAAGAGAGAUGUUUGAGAGGGUAAACAAUACAACUUUGUAGAGGAGAAAGGCUUGGUAUCAGCGGGAAAAAAAAAAAAAAAGGAAUACAAGAAUGAUUUUUUAGUGCAAAAGGAGUUCACCAGUUCGCCGGCAACAACCCUUUUCGUAGCAAUGUGUACAGAAAGGAAGGUGAAAAUGAUAAGCUUUCCUUGUCCAAAUGGUUUGGCUUGUAAGCUUAGGUUGCAUUUGCAAAUUUUCAUAAGUGUAAAUAUUGAAUUGAAAAAGUUAAUGGUUUUAGCUUUUCUAGCUCCCUCGCUUCAUGAAUGAUGAUACAAAUCUAUCAAGAGCAUAUAUAUUGACAUUUGUUUGUUGUGUAGAAAUGAUAAAUACUGGAGACAAUGGUGGUGGAAGACAUUAAUAAGCUUUAGUUGUUGCUAAGAACCUGUUUCAUUCAGCUGGAACUUCUGUUGACUAGAGCUGUUUAAACAAGCACUAGUAGCUGUUUAAUCAAAAUCUUCUUAAGGAACUUCUCUCUGUAGCAAAAGAUGUUGCUUUUGGAGCCCUGAAGCUCAUUUUUAGCUACUUGUGAUAGCAAAAGUUCUAAACAUUUUGUUUGCCCAAUGCUUGGAUUUUGGAAGUUUCUAGUUUUUGGAGUAGAACCUAGACUAGCACCAAGUGCUGUUUGGUUCUUUUGUUCUUACUCAUCUUUAUUUUUUUUUAAAAUACAUUGUAGAUUCUGGUGACAUUUGUUAGUUAGAUCUAGGCAAGUAAAUCAAGCUCCAUACACAUAAUUAUGCCAUAAUUCGGUCCAGCGAGUUGAUUUUGUUUUAGAUUUUAGUCUUUAGGCAGAGCUAGAGUUUGUCUUCUAUUUUGGUGCAUUCUUAUGGACUGCUGUCCAUAUUGUCCGGCUUAUCUGUUCUUCCCAUUUCAACCCAAGUGUGAUCAACUGGAAACGAAAAUCAUAAGGAAGGAUGUGUCUUAUGGGUUUCUUUUCUUAAAGGAGUCCAAUAUAGUUGCGAUUUAGAUCAGAUUCUUCUUUCAACUUGCACAGAUAUGAUUCUUGUUUCUCUCCAAAAGCAGGGUUAAAAAGUGCUCCUAUUAAGGUCGAGUUAUUUUAUUACCAUUUACAAAUUUCUAGUUGGAAAGAAGAUGAGCGCAAUGGUGAUAAUAGUAGGGAAAAGAUGAGCGACCAAAUAUCCAAAUGAUAUGGACGUAAAGUUGUUAUAAAUCCCCCCUUGACUCGAAAGCCUUCUCUUUCUAUUUUAUUCUCCUUGAAAACCAUCUUGUUCUGUUUUACUCUCCUCAAACGCCUUCUCUUUCUAUUGUGUUCUCCUGUUCUUUUAUUGCCACUAACUCCAUCUUCUUUUCUCUUAUUGUUUUAGCAAGUGAUUGUUGCAGCAGUUAAGAGAAAUCACGCUGCUUCGGUCCGAGUUGGGAUUACACUGUCUGAUAUGAUAAUUUGAUGCAAUUGUCAUUUCCAUAUGCCUUCUAUUAUCUAAUUUCUACUUUGUGAAAGAACCUAUAGUUAUUCUUUCUGUUCUCAACUUCUAAUAUCGUCUUUCAACUACCAAAAUUAGAACAUCACUUCAAUAUAUUUUACUAAGAUGUAUAAUCUAAUAGUUGUUGGUGAAAUAUGGGGCUGUUCAUCUAAAGUAGUUAUCAUGCCUUUGGCUUUGUACUGUAAGCAUAAAUGUGCCUUUUUAGUCUGCUUGCUUAGAGGGGACUUGCAUAGUAACUGUUGGCUGUUGGCUGGGCCUAGGAAGAGUUUGGUUCGCACAUAGCCCCACCAACGACAAGUUUGUUAGAUUGAAGAUCUUUGUUGUGAUCGAGAAUGUGUGGAAAUCAAUGUAGGCUGCAUCCGAGGGAGAAGGAAGGAUGUGACGCAGUUCUGUCGCACAACAUUGAAGACAAACUUCCGCAAUGCCACAACUGUGCUGUGCUUCUGUUGUCUCCCUUAAACUCUAAUUUCUCUCCUUCGUAGAUGUGCUUUUUCCAUCCUGAUCUAUCAAAAACCUAUAUUUUCCCUAUUGAAGUACAAGUGUUCGUCGCAAAUUUUGUCACCAUUUCUUGUGCAAUAUUUGUCACUAUUUCUUGUGCAAUAUUUAUCGCUUUGCUUAUAGGUCAAGGGGGUAAGAUGUAGGUUCUCUUUUUUUUAGAGAGAGAAAAGUAGCAUGCUACCCGUUUUAUUUUAUUUUUUUUUAGAAAUAAACUUAGCUUAAAAUGCUGAAAAUGUGAAUCCACUAGAAUUCGAACUUGGGACCUCGAGUACUAACUAUCAAAUCCUUUCCCACUUGCACUAUGGAUGAUCGGUGUAUAUAGCAACAAAGUUAUCUAACACAAUAUCCUUCUUAAUUGUGUUUUGGCCCUCCGAACAUAUGGACUUAAAAAUGUUCCUAUUUGUUAUUUGGUUGAUUUAUUCUAAAGCUUAUUUCAUAUGCAAAAUCUAAUUAAAACUGCUCUGGUUGCAACAGUUAAACUAUGGUGGAUUUAUUAUGUUUUAUUGUUUGCAGUGAGCUUUAGAGCAAUCUUCUACUGCUAGUUGUGACUAAAUUAGGGUUUCUCGUUACACCAAUCUGCAAAUAUUGAAUUGUUUGUGGGAUUUGGCACAUUUGUUCCAAUUUAUCAUAUUUUUUAUAUAGUUCUUCCUAUCAUCUCACUUUCUGAUCUCGUGUCCGCUAUAUUUGUAAUCCAAAAACACUUGCAUUUAGGAGGACCAAAGUUUUAGAAUUUCUUUUCGCUCUAAGAUUUAUCCAUUUCAUUAUCAUUCAUCUGAACAGUUUAUAGGUCUUGAAUGUGAAGCAUGCACUGAUUCUACAAAUCAAAAUCAAAGAUUUCCGAAAUGAGGUCUCAAAAUAACUUUUUAAAACUCAGGCCAAACACGCUCAUUCAAAGGUCCGUAUAAAAAAGAGAAGAAAAACCCUGCAAAUGCAAAAUCAUAUAGCUAGAGCUGCCCACUACGGUGGCUGGCGGCGUGAGAGAGAAGGAAUUCUACAUUAUCACACUUGCACCACGUCGUCAAUAACAAACCAAUCAUAAUUUUUCUUUUAAAAUAAAAGUAUAAUAAAAAUAAUUUUUUAUAAUCAUGAUGGGACAUAUAUGUCUAAAAAAAAAUAUUUGAUUGAUUUGUUACGCCACGUUAUCAAUAUAUUCUGUACAUUUUAGAAUUUUUCCUGAGAGAGGUGUGACGAGGUGUG
Molecule: long non-coding RNA, 34331 nt
Filed under: Ananas comosus (pineapple)
Lineage: Eukaryota; Viridiplantae; Streptophyta; Magnoliopsida; Poales; Bromeliaceae
Description: long non-coding RNA (ACOM_LNC019278)
Rfam family: tRNA (bases 9251-9323)
Source: RNAcentral